RNAcentral lists this ribosomal RNA (2024 nucleotides) under human gut metagenome. RNAcentral's name for it is "bacterial LSU rRNA". It matches the Rfam family "Bacterial large subunit ribosomal RNA", at positions 497 to 2539 of the family's 2925-position model. The record is from RNAcentral.
AGUACCGUGAGGGAAAGGUGAAAAGAACCCCGGGAGGGGAGUGAAAUAGAACCUGAAACCCUGCACUUACAAGCUGUGGGAGCACAUUACUUGUGUGACCGCGUACUUUUUGUAGAACGGGCCAACGAGUUACGUUAAGUAGCAAGGUUAAGCACUUAAGGUGUGGAGCCGUAGCGAAAGCGAGUCUUAAAUGGGCGAUUAAGUUACUUGGCGUAGACCCGAAACCGGGCGACCUAUCCAUGAGCAGGUUGAAGCGAAAGUAAAAUUUCGUGGAGGACCGAACCCACGAGCGUUGAAAAGCUCGGGGAUGACUUGUGGAUAGCGGUGAAAUUCCAAUCGAGCCCGGAGAUAGCUGGUUCUCCCCGAAAUAGCUUUAGGGCUAGCCUCAAGCGUAGAGAAACGGAGGUAGAGCACUGAAUGUCCUAGGGGGUAUUGCACUUACCGAAGACUAUCAAACUCCGAAUGCCGUUUUCUUUUACUUGGGAGUCAGACUGUGGGUGAUAAGAUUCAUAGUCAAAAGGGCAACAGCCCAGAUCGUCAGCUAAGGUCCCUAAAUGUACGUUAAGUGGUAAAGGAUGUGGGAUUGCACAGACAACCAGGAUGUUGGCUUAGAAGCAGCCACUCAUUUAAAGAGUGCGUAAUAGCUCACUGGUCGAGUGAUCCUGCGCCGAAAAUUUCCGGGGCUAAAACGUACUACCGAAGCUACGGCAUCAUUUAUGAUGGGUAGGGGAGCUUCGUAUGCAGGCUGAAGCAUGACCGUAAGGACAUGUGGACAGUAUACGAGUGAGAAUGUUGGCAUGAGUAGCGAGACGUGGGUGAGAAUCCCACGGGCCGUAAACCCAAGGUUUCCAGGGGAAGGUUCGUCCGCCCUGGGUUAGUCGGGACCUAAGCCGAGGCCGAAAGGCGUAGGUGAUGGACAACAGGUUGAUAUUCCUGUACCGCCAAUAAGCGUUUGAGAGAUGGAGUGACACAGUAGGAUAAGCUAACCGUACUGUUGGUUAUGUACGGCUAAGCAUUGAGGCAGUCUAAAUAGGCAAAUCCGUUUAGACAAUGCUAGGAUGUGAUGGGGAAGCCCUUCGGGGCGAAGUAGCUGAUUUCACACUGUCAAGAAAAGCUUCUAUCGAGUUUAAAGGCGCCCGUACCGUAAACCGACACAGGUGGGUGAGGAGAGUAUCCUAAGGCCAGCGAGAGAACUAUUGUUAAGGAACUCGGCAAAAUGACCCCGUAACUUAGGGAGAAGGGGUGCCUGUCUAUGACAGGCCGCAGAGAAUAGGCCCAAGCGACUGUUUACCAAAAACACAGGUUUCUGCUAAGUCGCAAGACGAUGUAUAGGAGCUGACGCCUGCCCGGUGCUGGAAGGUUAAGGGGAUCUGUUAGAGCAAUCGAAGCAGUGAACUUAAGCCCCAGUAAACGGCGGCCGUAACUAUAACGGUCCUAAGGUAGCGAAAUUCCUUGUCGGGUAAGUUCCGACCCGCACGAAAGGCGUAACGAUUUGGGCACUGUCUCAACAAUAGACUCGGUGAAAUUGUAAUCCCGGUGAAGAUGCCGGGUACCUGCGACAGGACGGAAAGACCCCAUGGAGCUUUACUGUAGCUUGACGUUGGGUCUUGGUACUACAUGUACAGGAUAGGUGGGAGACUAUGAAGCAUGGACGCCAGUCUGUGUGGAGUCAUCCUUGGGAUACCACCCUUGUAGUACUGGGAUCCUAACCAUAGGCCUUGAAUCAGGUCUUGGAACACCGUCAGGUGGGCAGUUUGACUGGGGCGGUCGCCUCCUAAAAAGUAACGGAGGCGCUCAAAGGUUUCCUCAGCACGGUCGGAAAUCGUGCGAAGAGUGUAAAGGCAAAAGGAAGCUUGAUUGCAAGACAUACAGGUCGAGCAAGGACGAAAGUCGGACUUAGUGAUCCGGUGGUACCGCAUGGAAGGGCCAUCGCUCAACGGAUAAAAGCUACCCUGGGGAUAACAGGCUUAUCUCCCCCAAGAGUCCACAUCGACGGGGAGGUUUGGCACCUCGAUGUCGGCUCA